AGUGAAAGAGAAAGAAAGAGAUAAAGAGAAAGAGAGAGAUAAAGAGAGAGAAAGAGAGAAAGUGAAAGAGAAAGAAAGAGAUAGAAAGAAAGAGAUAAAGGGAAAGAAAGAGAAAGAAAGAGAUAAAGUGAAAGAGAAAGAAAGAGAUAAAGAGAAAGAAAGAGAUAAAGUGAAAGAGAAAGAAAGAGAUAAAGUGAAAGAGAAAGAGAGAGAUAAAGAGAAAGAAAGAGAUAAAGAGAAAGAGAGAAAGAAAGAGAGAAAGUGAAAGAGAAAGAAAGAGAUAGAAAGAGAUAAAGGGAAAGAAAGAGAAAGCGAAAGAGAAAGAAAGAGAUAAAGAAUGAAAACUACAGCAAAAUAAAUAAAAUAGAGUAAACAAUUAAAGAGAAAAAGCAAAAGAAAAAAGAGAGCGAAUGAAAAAGUAGCAGCAAAAGAGAAAAAUAAUGAAGAGGAAAAGGAAAGAGAGAAUAAAAGAAAAUUAGAAAGAGAGAGAGAGAAAGAGAAAAAAACAAAA
Molecule: long non-coding RNA, 511 nt
Organism: Myxocyprinus asiaticus (Chinese sucker)
Lineage: Eukaryota; Metazoa; Chordata; Actinopteri; Cypriniformes; Catostomidae
Exons: 2
Source: RefSeq, a predicted model, not a curated record